AUGAAGCAAGAGAUUGAGAGAUUGAGGCUAUGGCAGAAAGUCAUGGAGGAGCAGCGACCAAGACUGGCCUGGAACAACAAACCUAUUGAAACAGGAAGAGAGAGGGAAAGAGAGAGGGAAAAAGAGAGAGAAAGGGAGAUGGAAAGUGAGAGAAAAGCAGAAUUGGAAAAACAAGAAAUGAAGAAGAAAGUGGAACAGGCAGAAGAAACGAUAAAAGCGUUAGAACGAGAGAUUGAGAGAUUGAAAGAGAUUGAGAAGGAAAUCAUAUUUGAAAGAGAAAGAGACAUGCGUAUUGCAGAGAAUGAGAAAGUCAAACUGGUCAACGAAAAGGUAAAAGAGUUAGAGAGAGAGGUUGAGAGACUGAAAGAAGAGAUUAGAUUGAAAGACGAGACUGAACCAGAGAGACCAUUUGAUAGAGACAGAGAGAGAGAAAAUGAUUGGAGACGAAGUGAAGAGGAGAUGAAAAAUAGAGUGGAGAGAGAGAUGGAGAUGGAGACAGCCCUCAUCAAUGACAAAAAUACGUCUGAAUUGGAGGAAGUCUUCAAGAAAAUCAAGGAACAGCAGAUAGAAUUAGAAAAUAUGGAAACAGACAAAUAUAAAUGGAAACAGAACCAAAUGGACAUGGAGGAGAAGAUGGAGGGUGAGCACAACAAACAGAAAGAGGUAGAAAGAAAGAGAAUGGAGAAAAUACCAAAACAGAGACAAGAAGAAGAUGAGAAGAAGAAGGAGAUGGAGAGAGAAGAAGAAGAGGAGAGACGCAAACAGAAGCACAUAGAGAUGGAAGAGGAAGAAAGAGAGAGGGAGAAAGAGAGACAGAGACAGAUCAAAAGAAAGAUAAUGGAAAAGAGACAAAAACAUAUCGAAAGAGAAGAAGAGAGACAGAAAGAGAUUGAAAGAGAGAAUGAAGAAGAAAGAUGUAAACAGAAGAAAAUAGAGAUGGAAGAGGAAGAACGAGAGAGGGAGAAAGAGAGACAGAGAGAGAUCAAAAGAAAGAUAAUGGAAAAGAGACAAAAACAUAUCGAAAGAGAAGAAGAGAGACAGAAAGAGAUUGAAAGAGAGCACGAAGAAGAAAGAUGUAAACAGAAGAAAAUAGAGAUGGAAGAGAAAGAAAGAGAAGAAGAGAGACAGAGAGAGAUUGAAAGAGAGCACGAAGAAGAAAGAUGUAAACAGAAGCAAAUAGAGAUGGAAGAGGAAGAACGAGAGAGGGAGAAGAGACAGAGAGAGAUCAAAAGAAAGAUAAUGGAAAAGAGACAAAAACAUAUCGAAAGAAAAGAAGAGAGACAGAAAGAGAUUGAAAGAGAGCACGAAGAAGAAAGAUGUAAACAGAAGCAAAUAGAGAUGGAAGAGGAAGAACGAGAGAGGGAGAAAGAGAGACAGAGAGAGAUCAAAAGAAAGAGAAUGGAGAAGAGACAGAAAAACAUGGAAAGAGAAGUGAGACAGAAAGAGAUUGAAAGAGAGAAUGAAGAACAACUAUUUAAACAGAAGCAAAUAGAGAUGGAAGAGGAAGAAAGAGAAGAAGAGAGACAGAGAGAGAUCAAAAGAGAGAAUGAAGAAGAAAGAUGUCAACAGAAGCAAAUAGAGAUGGAAGAGGAAGAAAGAGAAGAAGAGAGACAGAGAGCGAUCGAAGAGAAAGAGAGACAGAGAGAGAUUGGAGAGAAAGAAAGACGACAACAGCAAGAGGAGAGAAAGAUCAUGUUUGAGAGUGAUCAAGAAGAAGAAAAUAUAUGGAAACAGAAGCAAAUUGACAUGGAGGAGGGAAGAGAGAGGGAGAACAAGAGACAGAGAGAGAUAGAAGAGAUACACAGACGACAACAACAAGAGGAGAGACAGAAACAAAAGGAGAAGGAGAAAGAAAGGGAGAAAGACAAUGACAAUCAGAGAGAGAUGGAAUUAAAAGAUCAGCAACAGAAAGAGAUGGAGAAAGAAAAGAUGAUUAUGAGAGAAAGGGAGGAAGCAGGAAGCAGAAAGGAGGGGCAGAAUUUUUUUGGGGGGGAAAUUGAGGGACAGAAUGAACUGGAGAUAGAACAGGAGAGAGAGAUGGAAGAAAAGCAGGAAGUGAUUAAGGAAGCAGAGGAAGAGUACAGGGAAAGAGAAGAGAGAGGAAAGGAAGUAAGCAUGAAGAAACAUGUAGUAGUUAAUGUUAAAGCAAAAGCACGGGAAGUCUUCAAUAGGCGUAAAGAGAGGAGGUUAGAAGUGUUGAAGGGGGAGCGAGAACACAUAGAAAGAGGACAACAAAUCAGGAGGGAGAAGGAGGAAAGACGGCUGGAGAUGGAAAGAAAACAGGAGAGGGCAAGACAACAAGAGGAGCAGGAUAAAAAACGAGAGAUUGAAAUUGCUAGACAGAAAGAAAUGUUGAGACUAAGAGAGGAGGAGAGGCAGAGAGAGGAAGAGAGAGAGGAGGAGAGAAAGAAAGCCAUUAAAUGCCUUUUAUCUUUAAUCAGAGAGAGAGAAAAAAUAAUACAGGCAAAAAAAAGAGAGGAGAUGGUGGAAGAGGAAAGAAGGGAGAUCCUUGAGUACAAGAGGGGUGACUUAGAGGAGGAGGAAAAAGAAGAUGACAAGGAGGACAUUCUCCCACCCGAUAAAAGUAUCCGAAGGAGAGCCGUGGGCUGGGUGAAUAAAAAAUGGGAGAAGAGGAACCUCAGAAAGAUAGAGAGAACGUAUCAGAGAGAGGCUGAGGAGGGCCAUAAGAUCGUCCACAUAGCCAUCCCUGGACACACAAGGCUAACAUCCACCAUGACCCGGGCAGAGAGAGAGAGGGAGAAGAGGAAGGAGCUGCUGAAGGCUGAGGAGAGAAGGAAGAAGAUGGAGGAUUUCAAUAAGCAGUGGAGAGAGCGGUCCCUGCUUAAAAAACAGACUCAUCAACAACUGAAGGAGGAGAGGGAGAGGAUGAAGGAAAACUACCUGGAUCAGAUGAAUCUGGAGGCUGAUGCUCAAAUCAACACCCGGUGUCUAACCACCCAACACAGCCACGAUUACAACCACGGUCAGGAGUUGCCCGGGUGGGCCAAUGGCCAACAAGUAAGCCAAGAGCCCACUGGAUCUGCUGAUGGCCACCAGGAAAGGCCAAGGAGGCAACAGGCAUGGGCAGAGAACCAGGAGGGGAGUUCAGAGAACCAUCAGGGGGGGCCAGAGAACCAUCAGGGGGGGCCAGACAGCCAGCAGCUAGAAGCUCCAGAAGAGGUUGAAACAUCAGAGCGAAUAUCCAAGACAAAGAAAAAGCCAAGCAUCUGGAAGAAAAUUAGGAUGAGGUAAAGAAUGUUUAAACAUCUAUUCAUGUUUUACACUGUUAAUAUACAUGUCAUCACUUUAAAAAGUGACAUUAUCCAAAUGUGAGGGUUUAGUGUACAUGCAACACACAUGUAAAUAUAUAGAUACUUACCUGUCUCUGUGAUGUCUUACAGCCUCCCUGACGUGCUGUCUGCCUAGAGCUGGAACUCGAUGAAGCCACAGUUCCACUGAGGUUACGUUGGUAAUUAAAAGUGUCGCCCAAUAAUUCCUCCUCCUCUUUAAGUCAUCGAGCCACAUGUCCUCCUCAAAACAUUAUAGUCUCCUCAAGCCAGCAAGUAUCCUCUUUAUCAGGCAACAAACCAUCGAAGGUCAGUGACCCUCCUCCCAAGAACAGAGACUCUCAUCUGUAUCCAAGUUAAAUUAAUCUCUGCUUACCACCUCUACAGUCCUAGAAAAUAUCCCCAAAAUGGAAAUGGUUUCAACAGAAGUCCUCCCCUCAGACCAGUGGCUCCACAGACCAGAGUUUCUCAUCUUUAUUCAAGUUGAAUGCAACUCUGAUCAUUUUCACCACCUCUCCUGUUAAGGGGAGGUGCUGAAAAGGAGGUCUGGGAGGAGGUCUGCAGGUAGCCUGGACCGGACCGGUAGCAGCUAAGUUGCUGGCUCCAUCCCCGGGCAGAGCUGCUCAAGUCAGGCCAGUGAUGUUUGAUGAUGUCAUUUUUGUUAGCAAAGUUUUACUCUUUAAUAAAAGCAUUUAGUAAAAAAGCAAUGUUGUUGUUACGGUGUGGAUUGUUUUGUUAUUUAUUAGAAUUGAAACAUCCAGUAGUCAUGGUAGAUGUUAGACUUUCAAUGAGACACCUAACAUUCCAUCAGUUUGAUACAAUGUGUGACAUGUUAUAUUAGAGAGGAGUCCUCUAUACACAUCUAUUUUAGACCAUAGGAGUAAUAUCAGAUUGAAAUAGCUUCUCUAAGAGUCUGAGGAGAGAGCAACAGUAGACGCAUCGUUAGCUCUCCCACCUCCAGUUCAGUACUCGGGUCAUUCCACCAAUUGAGCACCUUUUGGGGGGUGUAACUUUAUAUUUCACCUAAUUCUAACAUUCUGUCAUAAAGAGCACAUGUUCAACUUAAUACAAAACAUGUUUUUCCAUCUCAAAGUAACAAAUACAUACUAUAGUAAGUGCCUAUUAAGUGCCAAAUAAAGUGACAGGGUUGACUGUAACAGAGUUGACUAUUUCAUCUAGAAUCGACCAUAGAUCCCCAUGUGACAGGGGGAAUGGAAUGCAAGCUUACCAAACACAUGUAAAUAGUUUAAACAUUUCUAGACUGUCUAUCUAUAGGUAACAGGGUUGGUGUGUUAUAAUUCACCCACCCAGUGGUGAUUGCAGCAUGUACAUCUUGGUGGGGAAAACUCCCCCAAAAUGUUUUAGAUGAAUGCCAGCAAAGCCACUACACAACACAACACUAAACAAUACAUUAAUUGCACUAUAAAUUUAACAAACGGUGCCCACAAACUGUUAGGGUCGACAUAAAGCUGUCCCAACAGCAGAGCUUUCUUUUCAGCACCAUGGAGAGAAUCCUUUUUAAAAAACAUAGCUGAUAUGGCUGACUUGCUUAAACAAAUGUGGUUUCUACUGACAAUUGAGAUGUACAAACUAUGGCAUAAGGGGACAACGAGUGGACUACAGGAUAUCUGUAAUUUAGAUUAAGACAAUGAGAGACCUAGGAUGGACGUCGUCAAUAUAACUAUUUGUUCAGCACUUUUGAAAUGUACAGCGACAGAAUUUUGAACAUGGGCCAUUCUUACAGUAUUCUCCCUGUACACCAAGUCAUAACUGCAUAUAAGCAGACAAUGAAAGCUCUUACAAUAUUUGAUGAUUACAUUUCUCUAAAACAGGCUAUAGUCUACAUGUACAAGACUCCCAAAAUGUUAUCAGCAUAUUGAUUGCGCAACCAGGGGUGGAAAGACCUUGGAUCAUUGUUACUCUAACUUCCGCGACGCAUAUAAGGCCCUGCCACGCCCCCCUUUCGGAAAAGCUGACCACGACUCAAUUUUGUUGAUCCCUGCCUACAGACAGAAACUAAAACAAGAGGCUCCCACGCUGAGGUCUGUCCAACGCUGGUCCGACCAAGCUGACUCCACACUCCAAGACUGCUUCCAUCACGUGGACUGGGACAUGUUUCGUAUUGCGUCAGACAACAACAUUGACGAAUACGCUGAUUCGGUGUGCGAGUUCAUUAGAACGUGCAUUGAAGAUGUCGUUCCCAUAGCAACGAUUAAAACAUUCCCUAACCAGAAACCGUGGAUUGAUGGCAGCAUUCGCGUGAAACUGAAAGCACGAACCACUGCUUUUAAUCAGGGCAAGGUGUCUGGUAACAUGACCGAAUACAAACAGUGCAGCUAUUCCCUCCGCAAGGCUAUCAAACAAGCUAAGCGUCAGUACAGAGACAAAGUAGAUCUCAAUUCAACGGCUCAGACACAAGAGUCCUGUGGUCAGGUGUCUACAGUCAUCACGGACUACAGGAAGAAUCCAGCCCAGUCACGGACCAGGAUGUCCUGCUCCCAGGCAGACUAAAUAACUUUUUUGCCCGCUUUGAGGACAAUACAGUGCCACUGACACGGCCUGCAACGAAACAUGCGGUCUCUCCUUCACUGCAGCCGAGGUGAGUAAGACAUUUAAACGUGUUAACCCUCGCAAGGCUGCAGGCCCAGACGGCAUCCCCAGCCGCGCCCUCAGAUCAUGCGCAGACCAGCUGGCCGGUGUGUUUACUGACAUAUUCAAUCAAUCCCUAUACCAGUCUGCUGUUCCCACAUGCUUCAAGAGGGCCACCAUUGUUCCUGUUCCCAAGAAAGCUAAGGUAACUGAGCUAAACGACUACCGCCCCGUAGCACUCACUUCCGUCAUCAUGAAGUGCUUUGAGAGACUAGUCAAGGACCCAUAUCACCUCCACCCUACCUGACACCCUAGACCCCACUCCAUUUUGCUUACCGCCCAAAUAGGUCCAGAGACGAUGCAAUCUCAACCACACUGCACACUGCCCUAACCCAUCUGGACAAGAGGAAUACCUAUGUGAGAAUGCUGUUCAUUGACUACAGCUCGGCAUUCAACACCAUAGUACCCUCCAAGCUCGUCAUCAAGCUCGAGACCCUGGUCUCGACCCGCCCUGUGCAACUGGGUACUGGACUUCCUGACGGGCCGCCCCAGGUGGUGAGGGUAGGCACAACAUCUCCUCCCCGCUGAUCCUCAACACUGGGGCCCCACAAGGGUGCGUUCUGAGCCCUCUCCUGUACUCCCUGUUCACCCACGACUGCGUGGCCACGCACGCCUCCAACUCAAUCAUCAAGUUUGCGGACGACACAACAGUGGUAGGCUUGAUUACCAACAACGACGAGACGGCCUACAGGGAGGAGGUGAGGGCCCUCGGAGUGUGGUGUCAGGAAAAUAACCUCACACUCAACGUCAACAAACUAAGGAAUGAUUGUGGACUUCAGAAACAGCAGAGGGACACCCCCCUAUCCACAUCGAUGGAACAGUAGUGGAGAGGGUAGCAAGUUUUAAGUUCCUCGGCAUACACAUCACAGACAAACUGAAUUGGUCCACUCACACAGACAGCAUUGUGAAGAAGGCGCAGCAGCGCCUCUUCAACCUCAGGAGGCUGAAGAAAUUCGGCUUGUCACCAAAAGCACUCACAAACUUCUACAGAUGCACAAUCGAGAGCAUCCUGGCGGGCUGUAUCACCGCCUGGUACGGCAACUGCUCCGCCCUCAACCGUAAGGCUCUCCAGAGGGUUAGUGAGGUCUGCACAACGCAUCACCGGGGCAAACUACCUGCCCUCCAGGACACCUACACAAAACCCGAUGUCACAGGAAGGCCAUAAAGAUCAUCAAGGACAUCAACCACCCGAGCCACUGCCUGUUCACCCCGCGAUCAUCCAGAAGGCGAGGUCAGUACAGGUGCAUCAAAGCUGGGACCGAGAGACUGAAAAACAGCUUCUAUCUCAAGGCCAUCAGACUGUUAACAGCCACCACUAACAUUGAGUGGCUGCUGCCAACACACUGACACUGACUCAACUCCAGCCACUUUAAUAAUGGGAAUUGAUGGGAAAUUAUGUAAAUAUAUCACUAGCCACUUUAAACAAUGCUACCUUAUAUAAUGUUACUUACCCUACAUUAUUCAUCUCAUAUGCAUACGUAUAUACUGUACUAUAUCAUCGACUGUAUCCUUAUGUAAUACAUGUAUCACUAGCCACUUUAACUAUGCCACUUUGUUUACAUACUCAUCUCAUAUGUUAUACUGUACUCGAUACCAUCUACUGUAUCUUGCCUAUGCUGCUCUGUACCAUCACUCAUUCAUAUAUCCUUAUGUACAUAUUCUUUAUCCCCUUACACUGUGUACAAGACAGUAGUUUUGGAAUUGUUAGUUAGAUUACUUGUUGGUUAUUACUGCAUUGUCAGAACUAGAAGCACAUUCUUCUCCAAAGGUUAGCUCUGACAUGCUUGUGCCACCAGUGGCACCCUCAGAAUGUGGUGAGUUCUGAGGAUGCUCCAACAGCUCAUUGGGUAUAAACGGCGGUACAUUCGAAAUCGUUACCCUUGAUGACGGAGAGAAAGCGCCGUAACUUGAAUAAACAUUCCUUUAAGAAGUACGCCAUGCUCAACCAUACGAUCUACAAGACUCUCUUCUUUAAGAAGUACGCCAUGCUCAACCACGAUCUACAAGACUCUCUUCUUUAAGAAGUACACCAUGCUCACCAUACGAUCUACAAGACUCUCUUCUUUAAGAAGUACACCAUGCUCAACCAUAACGAUCUACAAGACUCUCUUCUUUAAGAAGUACACCAUGCUCAACCAUACGAUCUACAAGACUCUCUUCUUUAAGAAGUACGCCAUGCUCAACCAUACGAUCUACAAGACUCUCUUCUUUAAGCAAAACCACCACCCCUUUAUUCAUCCGUGAUGCAUAAGCAACAUUC
Oncorhynchus mykiss (rainbow trout) is the source of this 8196-nucleotide long non-coding RNA. The record is from Ensembl. NCBI's taxonomy places the organism in Eukaryota, Metazoa, Chordata, Actinopteri, Salmoniformes, Salmonidae.